This 301-nucleotide ribosomal RNA is filed under the name uncultured bacterium. RNAcentral's name for it is "partial 16S ribosomal RNA". It matches the Rfam family "Bacterial small subunit ribosomal RNA", at positions 509 to 809 of the family's 1533-position model. The record is from RNAcentral.
CAGCAGCCGCGGGAAUACGUAGGUGGCAAGCGUUGUCCGGAAUUAUUGGGCGUACAGGGCUCGCAGGCGGUUUCUUAAGUCUGAUGUGAAAGCCCCCGGCUCAACCGGGGAGGGUCAUUGGAAACUGGGAAACUCGAGUGCAGAAGAGGAGAGUGGAAUUCCACGUGUAGCGGUGAAAUGCGUAGAGAUGUGGAGGAACACCAGUGGCGAAGGCGACUCUCUGGUCUGUAACUGACGCUGAGGAGCGAAAGCGUGGGGAGCGAACAGGAUUAGAUACCCCGGUAGUCCCUGUCUCUUAUAA